RNAcentral lists this microRNA precursor (60 nucleotides) under Paramuricea clavata. Lineage: Eukaryota; Metazoa; Cnidaria; Anthozoa; Malacalcyonacea; Plexauridae. The record is from RNAcentral.
AGGAUGUUGGAAUUUCCAACAUGUAUAUUAAAAUAUACAUGUUGGAAAUUCCAACAUCCU